Molecule: ribosomal RNA, 563 nt
Filed under: Mycobacterium gordonae
Lineage: Bacteria; Bacillati; Actinomycetota; Actinomycetes; Mycobacteriales; Mycobacteriaceae
Description: bacterial SSU rRNA
Rfam family: Bacterial small subunit ribosomal RNA
Source: RNAcentral
GACGAACGCUGGCGGCGUGCUUAACACAUGCAAGUCGAACGGUAAGGCCCUUCGGGGUACACGAGUGGCGAACGGGUGAGUAACACGUGGGUAAUCUGCCCUGCACAUCGGGAUAAGCCUGGGAAACUGGGUCUAAUACCGAAUAGGACCACAGAACACAUGUCCUGUGGUGGAAAGCUUUUGCGGUGUGGGAUGGGCCCGCGGCCUAUCAGCUUGUUGGUGGGGUGAUGGCCCACCAAGGCGACGACGGGUAGCCGGCCUGAGAGGGUGUCCGGCCACACUGGGACUGAGAUACGGCCCAGACUCCUACGGGAGGCAGCAGUGGGGAAUAUUGCACAAUGGGCGAAAGCCUGAUGCAGCGACGCCGCGUGGGGGAUGACGGCCUUCGGGUUGUAAACCUCUUUCACCAUCGACGAAGGUUCGGGUUUUCUCGGAUUGACGGUAGGUGGAGAAGAAGCACCGGCCAACUACGUGCCAGCAGCCGCGGUAAUACGUAGGGUGCGAGCGUUGUCCGGAAUUACUGGGCGUAAAGAGCUCGUAGGUGGUUUGUCGCGUUGUUCGUG